This 251-nucleotide ribosomal RNA is filed under the name uncultured Pseudomonas sp. Its description in RNAcentral is "partial 16S ribosomal RNA". It matches the Rfam family "Bacterial small subunit ribosomal RNA", at positions 103 to 355 of the family's 1533-position model. The record is from RNAcentral. Lineage: Bacteria; Pseudomonadati; Pseudomonadota; Gammaproteobacteria; Pseudomonadales; Pseudomonadaceae.
CGGGUGAGUAAUGCCUAGGAAUCUGCCUGGUAGUGGGGGACAACGUUUCGAAAGGAACGCUAAUACCGCAUACGUCCUACGGGAGAAAGCAGGGGACCUUCGGGCCUUGCGCUAUCAGAUGAGCCUAGGUCGGAUUAGCUAGUUGGUGAGGUAAUGGCUCACCAAGGCGACGAUCCGNUAACUGGUCUGAGAGGAUGAUCAGUCACACUGGAACUGAGACACGGUCCAGACUCCUACGGGAGGCAGCAGCC